RNAcentral lists this long non-coding RNA (386 nucleotides) under Anser brachyrhynchus (Pink-footed goose). RNAcentral's name for it is "lncRNA (ENSABRG00000020063.1)". Lineage: Eukaryota; Metazoa; Chordata; Aves; Anseriformes; Anatidae. The record is from RNAcentral.
UUUUCCUCUUGCCACUUCAAAAUUCUCGCUGUGCAUUGUUUUUUUUUUUUCCCUUCAAAGGAUUCUUCACCAUAGAUGGACUUGUCAAAUUUGACCUGAAACAAAGCUAAAACAUGUGCUAGAUAAUUCAGCCCUCAUCUGUGCUGGCAUCUGCUUCUGCUUCACGUAGCUACAUAUUGACAUGAAAGGAAGAAACAUCUGUUUCAGGUACUGUAAUGCUUCACGAUCCAGCUAUUUCAUACAAGUCUGUGGUAGUCUUCACAUGGAUCUUUCAGAUACGUUUUAUUAGCACCACUACACAGAAGCUGUAAAACAGAGGGGAAUCAUGUCGCAGGUCUCAAUCGUGGGUCCGUGAGCACAAGGACUGCAGGAUGUAUAACUACUUG